Molecule: ribosomal RNA, 305 nt
Filed under: uncultured bacterium
Lineage: Bacteria
Description: partial 16S ribosomal RNA
Rfam family: Bacterial small subunit ribosomal RNA
Source: RNAcentral
ACAGCAGUCGCCGCGGUAAUACGAAGGGUGCAAGCGUUAAUCGGAAUUACUGGGCGUAAAGCGUGCGUAGGCGGUGAGUUAAGUCUGCUGUGAAAUCCCCGGGCUCAACCUGGGAAUGGCAGUGGAUACUGGCAAGCUAGAGUGUGUCAGAGGAUGGUGGAAUUCCCGGUGUAGCGGUGAAAUGCGUAAAGAUCGGGAGGAACAUCAGUGGCGAAGGCGGCCAUCUGGGACAACACUGACGCUGAGGCACGAAAGCGUGGGGAGCAAACAGGAUUAGAUACCCGCGUAGUCCCUGUCUCUUAUAC